RNAcentral lists this ribosomal RNA (368 nucleotides) under uncultured eukaryote. Its description in RNAcentral is "partial 18S ribosomal RNA". It matches the Rfam family "Eukaryotic small subunit ribosomal RNA", at positions 592 to 976 of the family's 1831-position model. The record is from RNAcentral.
CAGUAGCGUAUAUUAAAGUUGUUGCAGUUAAAAUGCUCGUAGUUGAAGUUCGGAUGCAGCAGAGCUUGGAAACGCUGUUAUGGUGCUUCCGUUGCUUUUGCUUGUCCACAGUGCGUUGCAAGUACGUAUGUGCUUGUGCGUGCAUUUUACUUUGCGAAACAUAGGGUGUUCCACGCAUGUUACGGCAUGAAUAUUCCAGCAUGGGAUAAUCUGGUACGACUUCCAAUCUGCCAUUUUGGUUCGUAUGUUGGAAGUAAUGAUUAAUAGGGACUGUCGGGGGCAUUGGUAUUUGACUGUCAGAGGUGAAAUUCUUAGAUUCGUUGAGGACCAACCACUGCGAAAGCAUUUGUCAAGGAUGUCUCCAUUAA